UGGGGAAUAUUGGGGCAAUGGGGCGCAAGCCUGACCCAGCAACGCCGCGUGAAGGAAGAAGGCUUUCGGGUUGUAAACUUCUUUUAAGAGGGAAGAGCAGAAGACUGUACCUCUAGAAUAAGCCACGGCUAACUACGUGCCAGCAGCCGCGGUAAUACGUAGGUGGCAAGCGUUGUCCGGAUUUACUGGGUGUAAAGGGCGUGUAGGCGGGAGAGCAAGUCAGAAGUGAAAUCUAUGGGCUUAACCCAUAAACUGCUUUUGAAACUGUUCUUCUUGAGUAUCGGAGAGGCAGGCGGAAUUCCUAGUGUAGCGGUGAAAUGCGUAGAUAUUAGGAGGAACACCAGUGGCGAAGGCGGCCUGCUGGACGACAACUGACGCUGAGGCGCGAAAGCGUGGGGAGCAAACAGGAUUA
This 412-nucleotide ribosomal RNA is filed under the name uncultured Clostridium sp. RNAcentral describes it as "bacterial SSU rRNA". It matches the Rfam family "Bacterial small subunit ribosomal RNA", at positions 355 to 780 of the family's 1533-position model. The record is from RNAcentral. Lineage: Bacteria; Bacillati; Bacillota; Clostridia; Eubacteriales; Clostridiaceae.